Molecule: long non-coding RNA, 880 nt
Organism: Coregonus clupeaformis (lake whitefish)
Lineage: Eukaryota; Metazoa; Chordata; Actinopteri; Salmoniformes; Salmonidae
Exons: 4
Source: RefSeq, a predicted model, not a curated record
UAUCCUUGUAAGAUUUACUAUAUCAGUUAUAAAAUGUUUUUGCUUCUGUAUUCGUGACACAACACUAACUCGAAAUUGGUUCAGGUUUCAGAGGCUACUGAAAACACAUUGUCAGAGCUUACAAGUGACAUACUGGCUUGUGGAUACACUGGCACAAUUGCUGUGAGAAACAGCGACCGCAUUGUCAGGAGCCAGAUGCUGACUUCCUCCUAUCCUGCUUUGUGCCGGUUCUGAGUGGAAAGGGAACUUGUCGCUGGCAUCUUGAAUCUCAAAUCAUGAACCACAUGCAGGACUUCUUGAAGAGAUUGAGUCGACAGGUCAAACUGAUGGGAUGCAGCCAGAGGAUGAGAUGCAGGAAAACAAGUGUACAGGACCAAUGGAAGGCAAACGACAAUAUGAGCGAGUAACCAUCCCAUCCGUCAUGCAGUGGUUGAGCGGCCAAGCCCACGUGGUCUUACUACCAAGAGAAAGGAGAGAUUUUAUCAUCAAUGUCCUCUUUGAUCAUGACUGUCUUGUGUGCAUCCCUAGUUACAGUUUGUGUUUUCCUACAGUAAGUGCUUGCUCAAAAACUGUCACGUUACCAACUGCACACGAGAACCUAUGCAGAGUUUAAUCAUGUCUUCACACAGGCAAUUUGCUAUGGUGGGCAGGGGUUUCACAAUGUUUAAAAUGGUAAAUUGAGUCCAGUAGGUUACAGUAAAAUGGUUUGAGACAUGAAAGUGUUGUUAAAUUUAGCAAACUAAUCUGGUUACAUCCAUUGUUCCAAUGCUAGGUAACUUUAGCAUAGUAAGUUUUACUAUAAAUCAAGUAAUCCCUCGUGCUUAUCUUUUUUUCUUGCCAAAUGAAUCUCCAAUAGUAAUGACAAAAAUUCUACAAGUCU